RNAcentral lists this small RNA (177 nucleotides) under Chelonoidis abingdonii (Abingdon island giant tortoise). RNAcentral describes it as "TUC338 (ENSCABG00000020995.1)". The record is from RNAcentral. Lineage: Eukaryota; Metazoa; Chordata; Testudines; Testudinidae.
CUGACAAUGCUAGAGACUGAAGUUCUCUAUCUGUUCACAGAAAAGGUACAGCAGGGCAAUGUCAGAACAAGUUUCCUCACAAUGCCCUGCCAACAUACUUCAACUUAGAUGUGAAAGGCCCAGCUAGGUGCAAGAGGGUAGUUUAGACUCUGAUUUUAUUUCAUUUUUACUGUGUCU